RNAcentral lists this ribosomal RNA (253 nucleotides) under uncultured bacterium. Its description in RNAcentral is "partial 16S ribosomal RNA". It matches the Rfam family "Bacterial small subunit ribosomal RNA", at positions 524 to 776 of the family's 1533-position model. The record is from RNAcentral.
UACAGAGGUGGCGAGCGUUGUUCGGAAUUACUGGGCGUAAAGGGCGCGUAGGCGGCCUUCUAAGUCGAACGUGAAAUCCCCGGGCUCAACCCGGGAACUGCGUCCGAUACUGGAAGGCUUGAAUCCGGGAGAGGGAUGCGGAAUUCCAGGUGUAGCGGUGAAAUGCGUAGAUAUCUGGAGGAACACCGGUGGCGAAGGCGGCAUCCUGGACCGGCAUUGACGCUGAGGCGCGAAAGCCAGGGGAGCAAACGGG